CAGUAAGAGACUUUUGGACUGCAAUACAAGAGGUGGUGGAUUGUGCAUUUAUGUUAACAAAGCUUGAUGUACGAACACUGUCAUUGUUGGGAGACACUGCUCAGCUAACCUAGAGUUUCUCAUGGUUAAAUGUAGACCUUUUUAUCUGCCGCAUGAGUUCACUUCCACCAUAAUAACUGCAGUCUAUAUUCCACCGGAUGCUAAUGCCAAGCUUGCUUUGAACGAACUUCAUGCAGCCAUUAGUAAACAACAGACUGCUCACCCGGAGGCUGCUUUUAUUGUCGCGGGUGAUUUUAAUCACUGCAAAUUAAAGACAGUGCUCCCCAAAUUCCAUCAGCAUGUUUCCUGCCACACCAGAGGA
Cyprinus carpio carpio is the source of this 361-nucleotide long non-coding RNA. The record is from Ensembl. NCBI's taxonomy places the organism in Eukaryota, Metazoa, Chordata, Actinopteri, Cypriniformes, Cyprinidae.